Molecule: unclassified non-coding RNA, 143 nt
Filed under: Myrmecridium iridis
Lineage: Eukaryota; Fungi; Ascomycota; Sordariomycetes; Myrmecridiales; Myrmecridiaceae
Description: sequence contains ITS2
Source: RNAcentral
CAACCCUCAAGCCUGGCUUGGUGUUGGGGCUCUGCGCCUGCAGGCCCUCAAAUCCAGUGGCGGACACGCUAGGUCUCCGAGCGCAGUACUUUUUCUCGCUCCGGGCGUCCGGCGUGGGCUUGCCUCGCACCCCAAUUUAUCAA